RNAcentral lists this long non-coding RNA (29825 nucleotides) under Ananas comosus (pineapple). RNAcentral describes it as "long non-coding RNA (ACOM_LNC011547)". The record is from RNAcentral. Lineage: Eukaryota; Viridiplantae; Streptophyta; Magnoliopsida; Poales; Bromeliaceae.
GGGGGGGGGGGGGGGGUCAGCUACAGUUGAGUCAAUCUGGCGGAGGAUCAAUGUUGUUUUGUUGUGGAGGAGAACUACUACUUAUUUAUUUGCUGUUUUAAGGGGUUUAAGGAUCGAUGUGUAUUAUAUGCUAUAUAUAUACUUACUUCAUGCAUGAUUUUUAUAUUUUUUUUGUUGACAUAAUAUUUUUGACAUAAACUUCGUGCAUAAUGUUGUUGUUAUGCUUGCCAAUGUUAUAUAAUUAAGCUAAUAUAGAGUUAUUUAAAAUCUAAAUAUAUAUGUUUCUAGUUUACUUAAUUUUAGGCUAAAUUUCCUUUGGUACUUUAGCUUACCUCUCAAUUAUUUUAUUCAAUUAAGAAUACGUCGUUCUCACCCCAUAUUUUACCACUGAGCUGAAUAGGCCUUAAAAAUAGGAAUAAUUAUUGAAAUUAGUUACAAAACUUUACUAAAAUGAGUUGGAAACUUUAAUAAAAUGACGAGUUAAAACUCCCCCAAGGGGGUCCUUUUCACCUUUCUCUAAUAUAUACCAUUUACAAACUUAUUUCCGAAAAAUUUUGCAAUCAAUUAAUUAGUUCAACACUUAUGUUAAGAUGUGAACAUGGCUAUUUGAGAUAGUAACAUGAUGCAGGGUGGAAAUUAAUUAACUCAACAUUAAUUGCUUCUAGUCCCACCUCAGAAUAUUUGAAUAAAAAAUGCAAUAAUAAUUUGCUAGUUAAUGUAUAGGAAAAUAUAAUUUUUGCACUCUAUAUUGAUGAGUGAGGAUGAAGAACGCCGACGCCACCACAGCAUCGCGUCGUCAGCAAGGUACAUGAACGCGACCUAGACUUUUUCCUCCUCCUCGUCCAGCCACAACGCUUUGAUGUAGCGCUCCAUGUGACACAGAAAAUUGUCGAUCUUCUUCUCAUCGCGGGUACCUCUGAAAUUUUGAGGAACACUUUCUUCAAAUAUUGUGCAUACGUUCCUCCAAUUUAUGUGUGAAACUCUUAACUAAGAAAGGAUAUGUGUCAAAAUAUGAGAGUUAAUUAUAUAAUAGAGNAAAAUUACUUUCUUCUUCGUCAAUCUCUUUCCGCUCCUUUUUCUUUGAUCUUCUCCUCUUUCUCACUCACCUUCGACUUAAUUUGAGGAUUCUAUCAUCUCCAUCCUGAGAUCCUCAGAGCGAGAUCAUCAUCUAAUCCCAUGAUAGAUCAGGGUAUUACAAUAAAAUCACGUAGGGCGCAUCCAACAAAUUAUACUCUUACAUUAUGCAUUUAUAGAAGAGAUUCUGUCUGUUUGUACAAAGGAGAUUCUAUUCAUAUAGUGGGUUUGUGCAUGCGGGGUAUAUUUUUUACUUUGGAAAGAAAAUUGCUGUGUCUGUACUAAAUUCUGUUUUUAAUAUAGAAAGGUUAAACAAAAAAAGUCUCAUAGCAUGACAACUGCGAUUUUAUGUUUUAACAGAUUUCUUAAUUUUUGUUCUCCAUUUUUACAAUAUUGUUUAUUAGAGAUGGAUUUUUUUUUUUGAGAAAUAGGUAGCAUGCUACCCGCUUCGUUUAUUUCAUUUAGAAAUAAACUUAGCUGGAAAUGUGAAUCAAUUAGGAUUCGAACUUGGGUCUCGGGUACCAACCACCAAGCCCUUUGCCGCUUGCUCUAGGUACGGUCGGUGGGCUACUAUAGUAUUAAUAGCACGUAGUCAUUGAUUCUAUUAGGUUUUCGUUCCUUGGAUGAUCAUAUGAAGGGAUAUGCGAUUAGAAUGAUAUUAGUUUUCUAAGAUUGAGUGAGUAGUUACUUGAAUAAUAUAAUCUAACGGAUAAAAAUAGUUAAAGGGUAGAUUUAACGACGGAAAACUUGAUAGUAUCAAGUCAUUGGUGCAAUUAAUAGCAUAGUACGUAGCCAGACUAUAAUUAGCAGCAAACGGGCUCUGUUGCCACCGAUUUGUUUUCGGUGAUGGAGCCUUCAAAUCGACGAUCAGCAUCAUUGAACAUGAUCUAUGCCACUUGAAGUAUCUAGAAACCAAAUUUCAAAUCUUUUCAAUAUAUAUCAUUAGCCUAAUGAUCAAAGAAUUUCAAAUUUUGUAAUUUUAAUGAUCGAUAUGAAACAUUUUCUAGUUUAACGGUGCCGUAAAGAUAUCAACAUCAAUUAAAUUUUAGUUAGAAAAUUCUUUAAACUAUUUAGAACAAGUUUUAUACUCUCAAUCUUGGUUACAAUACUCCUAUCAUCCUUUUUUAAAUUAAGGAUAUUCAUUUUCAACUGUUCACUUUUAUGUCCACUUGAUGGACAAAAGAACAAUAUUAAAAAAUAAUAAUAAUAAAUUUUGGUCUCUAAAUAUUUCAAGUGGUAUAAAUCAUAUUCAAUGAUAUCGAUCGUCGAUUCGAAGACUCCAUCAUCGAAAACAAAUAGAAAACAAUGAAACUCGUUUGCUACUAAUUAAUGUAUCCAAAUUCAUUUAUUCACGCUCAACUCUAUAUUACACACGCGAUGACAACGUCCAUGCACGUACGUGUGCACUUAUGUAUCCAAAUUCAUUUAUUCAUGAGCUUGUGCACAUGCUAUUGCUGUGAGAUAUAGCGACUCAUCCACGUGCGAACAAUGACAGGUGGAAUUUAUAGCUUUGUCGGAAAAUAUAAUUAGCAUCAUAUUUCAUAAUGAUUUUGUUGUUGAUACAUAAAUUGUUGGUGUUUUCACAAAAACUUUUAAAAAUUUCGUGAAUUUUGGUAAUCAAUAUUCCAGAUUGGUAUGUUUCAUUAAUUUCUUGAGACAUAAUUAUUAUGCCUAAAUAACUACGUCCCGAUUUAGGAACUAGAUUUCCCUUUUUUUGUAUAUUUACAUUUGAAUUACUGAUAUAAAAGUUGAAAUAAGUACUAAAAUGUAAGCAACUUUUUUUUCCUUUUUUUUUUAUGAGCAUUGAGAGAUUGUUCUCUACGUGAAUUUACUGCAUGAUUACCUAUUGAAAACGACUUAGAUAUAUCUCAAAUUGAAAUAAAACAUUUAAUUAGGUCCGCUUGGAUGCACAGUAAUAAAAUUUUAUAGUGUUUGUAUUCGGUACUUUUGAUCUAUAGAUAAAAUAGAAAAUUUUGUAAUGGUAAAAAAUGUCACGGCUUCAAUUUAAACCAUUUGGAUCUUCACUGUAAAGUUUCACAAAAUUUUAAUAAUUGAAAUUUUGAAAUUUAAAAUCUGGUCGAGGGUUUAAAAUCUUAAACUAGUUUAAAGUUGGUUUUCAUUGCAUUUUGGACAAUUCAAAUUUGGGGUAGCGAUAGCAUCACUUUAAUUUGUACUUAGGCACCAUUAAGUAUUGUGGAGAGAGUGUGUUAUGUGCAUGACGAUUAAAACCCUCCACAUGCAUUAUAGUGUUAGCUAACACAUCAAUAGCAUAUAGGCUCUAUUUGGAUGUCGAAACAUAUAUAGUUAUCUAAUAUUUAAUUAUUUAAGCACUAUGAGGAUUUUUCCUGUGACAUUGUAAGCUCGUAAUUUGAUUUUAGCACCUUGGAAGGACUUAAUAUGUAAGAUUUGAUAGAAUAUAAACUUUACCUAAGAGUUUAAUUAUUUACCAAAUUCGAAAGAAACUACCUGAAGGCCAAAAAGGGUAUCCUCUCCUAGUUUCACAUACAAAAUACUAGGAGCAUUUUAAAUAAAUAAAUAAAAUAGAUAUAUCGAAAGCUGAAUAAGACAUUCAUGCAUUCAAACAUAAUCACAAGGGUGGGCAAUAUUGUUUCAGUUCAUGUACGUAAUAGUACUCAUUCAGUAGCCCUACAUGUUUGGACAUCAAAAAUUCCAAUGAUAACUCAUCUAAUAUAAGAAUUAUUUUAUGUGAUUGGAAGUAAGAAAUUUAUUUUUUGCGCCCUUUAAAAAUAAUGAAGUAAUAUAAUUUAUCUAUAAUAUAAUUUAUUUUAUUCUAAAAAAAUUUAAAGGCCAAAUAUGAUAUUCAUUCUAAACAUUUGUUCAAAUGCCUUACGCACAUAACAAAUAUUGUUUGCUUUUUAAGUAAAUCGAAGGAAUGUACUGAAAGGAAAAUAAGGUUACUCUCAAGGGUUUUGAUCAAUGAAAAUUCACCUUUUUCUCCUUUUCUCUUCUACGAAAAGGCCACGCGAAUCACAGAGUUUUUUUUUUUAAACUAAAUCAAAGUAAGAAUCAUGAGAUCUAGAGAUGCUGAUUCUGAAUCAGGGUGGUCGAUCUAUAACCAGUCCCAAGAUUUGUGAACAAAACCGUAAACUCUUUCUCCAGAAUGGUAGUUAAGCUGAGAGUUUUAGUUAUUAAGUCGAUAAAUAUAGAUCAUCUAAGCAGGAUCAUAAAAGAGAAUAUUAAAUAAAAAUUUAAGCGAUCAGACAAUAAUAUUUCAACACUUAUAUUCUAAUAAAAAUUUGAAUAAUAUCAAAGUCUGAUAAAAUUCAAACUCAGAAACUCAUGUUCGAAUUAAGUAAUAUAAAAUAAUUUUCUUAUUUUUAAGAAGAAUCUAAAUUCUUUAGAAAAUAAUAGUUUUAGAAAUUAUUAUUAUUAUUAUUACUAUACAUUAAACGCAGAUAUUAUUAAUAGGUUCUCAGGUGGCGCGCACAUGGACGCACCCACCCACCAAUGCGACAUGCCAGAGCAGCUUCACAUGGCAGUACCCCCGGAAUCCACCCCCCACAUUAUUAGACCUCCUUUGUGGGUCCCACCAUAAAAAUACAACUCCCUUUAUUUUUUAUUUAUUCUUUUGUUAUUUUUAUUUAAUACUAGUUUAAUUGCUGGUGCUUUAGUUCUGCUCUAUUGCUGGUGUUGUUGGUGUUGAGAAUUCACAUCUGAAUAAUUCAAAAUAUAUUUCAACAAUCCGUUCGAUUUAUUUAUGAUCUUAAAUUGGACGGAUUAAGUUAGAUACGCGGUAUCAAUUAUUGGGCUGUGUAGGUUUGGAUUGAGCUGCAACGUAGAAGAAUAUUAUUGAUAUACGUACGUCAAUUACGUUGUGAAAUUUUGCCUGGGAACUGUGUGUAGGAUGAAAUUUUUGUUAUUUUGAGUAAUCUUUCGUGUUUGAAAAAACCAAAUGCAUUUAUUUGGUUAAAAAAAAAAAAAAAAAUUUGUGCGGUGCACGGUUGUGUACGGAUGAACCGGGUCCAGCCGAUGAGCUCUCGUCGAGAAAACGUCGCCAUCAGAUCUGUUCCGAGGUGGUGGACGCAGGCCCAUCUCGGCCGUUCGAUUCGGUGGACCCGCAUCGCCCGGCUCCAUCCGUCCGUACGUUACUGCCAGCCGUACCGUCGCGGGCGCGCGGCGGGAAACUCUGUGGGCCCCGCGCCGCGGGGCCCAUCGCCUCCGCCGCACGAAUUUCGAAGCGCCGAUUCCGCGCGCUGGUCCGCCCGGCGAUUAAUCGCCGCCGCUCAUUCCCAAAAAGUAAAUAAAAAUAAAAUAAAAAAGUAAAAAUUUUCUGAAAUAAAUAAAUAAUAAAAAUAUGUACCAGGUAGGACCCACAUGUCCACUCCGACCGCCACAAUCAUUCGUGCGCUGAAAUUAUUUCUCUGCACCUGGUGUAUCCAGAAAUCUCAUGCACCGAAAAAUAUACUCUAUUGAUGUUCUAAUGAAUCAAAAAUUAUAAAGUUUAGAAAUCUAAUUAUGUAUAAAUUUAACGGCCCAUACAAAUUAAUCGCAUCGAAAGAUACUACCAUAUGUGAAUUUACUAGCUAGGUGAGUUUAUAUUGAUUGAAUCUAAGUCAAAUCAGUCUGUAAAUAACAACCAAAUUUAGUAAAUUUUAAGUGUCGCUUAUAUAUUAGAUCUUUUCAAAAGUAGUUGGUUCUUUAAAAUAUAUUUCAAAAAAUAUUUUUUAGUUUAUAUGAAAAAAUCUCUUUUUUACUUUUAAGAUUUUUCAUUCAUACAACGAAAAUUUUUAAAAAUAUAUAUAGUUUUUCACAAAAAUAUUAAAUUUUUUAAAAUAUAAUUUUUCAUUAGUUUUUGAGCAACCAGACACGCCCUUAUUAUCAUUAUUAAAAAAAGAAAAUCAUGCUCCAAACUUAUGAAUUUUAUAAUAUAUUUCAUAAAUCAAUCUUUGAUUUGGAUGGCUCUGUGACUUGUAUGAUGCACCAGGUGCAAGCAAUUUUCUCUCCGGGGGCAAAUUCACGGGAGUACGGUAACCUCUCUGACACGUGUCACUCUCUGGCGGGGUCGGACCAUUCGACCAAGCGAAUAAUUUGCGGCGCCCCGUGUAGCCCACCCCACCCCCCCAAGCAAAAGGAAACAGCUCUAUACACUACUACUCAAUUCCCUGUUUUUUAUUUUUUUUUAUUUUUUUAAAUCUCUCUCUCUCUCUCUCUCUCUUUCUUUAUCUACUCAUCCACUCACACUCAACCUCAUAACAAUAGAAACAUACAACGAACAAGUUAGAGAGAGAGAGAGAGAGAGAGAGAGAGAGAGAGAGAAAGAGAGAGAGAAUGGGGAGUGGUUUGGGUUUGGAGGAAACUGAGCUGAGGCUCGGAUUGCCGGGGGGCGGCGGUGGCGGAGGCGGAGGCAGAGGCAGCGGGGACGGAGAGCCGACGGGGAGGAAUUUCGGGAAGAGAGGGUUUGCACAGACGAUCGAUCUGAAACUGCAGCUCCAGACCGCGUCUGUCGCGACAGACGCAAGAGAGACAGCAGCGGCAUCUGAGGGGACCGCCGCCGCAGCAGCAGCAGCAGCAGCAGCAGAGAAACUCAAGAGAUCUCCCUGCAGCCACAAGAACGUGGCUGCUGCAUGCAACAGCGCGGAUCCCGAGAAGCCACCCGCUCCCAAGUACGUUCCCAUAUGCAUCAUCAUUUCCUUGGUUUUUGCUUUUGAGUGGUGCAUGUUGUAAUUAUUACUAUAAAAUGUUAAAGUGAGAACUAAGGGAAUCUAUCUAAAUUAUGAAUUAUUUUGUUCAAAUUUUUUAAAUUUUUUUUUUUAUUUGAUUCAAUUGACAGCAUUUUAAUUACAAAAAUUAAAAUAAUUAUUUAUUUUAAUAAAUUUAUAGUUGUGGGUUUGUAUGAAAUAUAUAUUAAUUAAAUUUGUAAAGAUAAGUAAUGUAUUUAAAUUUAAAAUCAAAAUCAAACCGAUUAAAAAGUUGGAUACUAAAAUUAAAAUUUUAAAAAAUUGAGUACUCAAAUUAAAAUGUUCUAUAGUUCAGAAAAGUUUUAUAGAUUUUUAACUAAAGGUUAUAAUAGAAAAAGAAUAAAUUAUCCUUUAUUUCGUUUUAGUGCAUAUAUGGUUGUAGUUUCUCGUGUGCUUGUAUGCACUUUUCUGUUUUUAUUUUUAAUUUUUUUUGUGGGGGUGGGGGUGGUUUAGUUUCUGUUUUUUUCUCUUAAUUACUAGAUAGAUAUAAUAUUUUAUCAAAUAUAUUUUUUGUUAGCAUUAACAAAAGAAGAAUGAGAAUCUAAUAUAUACACAUUAUCGUUUAUGUGUAACUUAUUGAUAUUUUAUUUCUCAAAAAAAAAACUUAUUGAUAUUUUAAGAGCAUGUGAUCGAUAUACUAAUCUCCAAAAGAGAACGCCAAGAACACCUCCUGUAUAGCUAGAUCUCUCUCUCUCUCUCUCUCUCUCUCUCUCUCUCUCUCUCUCUCUCUCUUAAUGAUUUUUUUUUCUUAAUUUAUUUUUUUAACUUUUUUUUGCCUUCUUAAUUAAGUGAAGUUAUCAAGAAAUUAAUCAACAUUUAUUAGUGGUCAAUAUUUGGUUGUCGUUAGAUGGAACUGCAUAAGAAGCUAGCAACAGAUGAACAAGAUUUAUUAUGGGUUAUUACUCAAAAGGGAAAAAAAAAGGCCAUUAUUUGAUGGUUAAUUAACAAAUAAUUUGUGGGCAAAUCUUUUGUUAAUUUUGUUCUAUGCUAAUGAAAAAUAAAAAAUUCAUGUUCAUGAGACACUUGUAUAUAACUAAAUAUCCAUCCUUAGAUUUAUGAAAGAUUUUUUCCUUUUUCCCCCAAGAGAUGGCCAUAUAAUUAAUUAAUUUUGUAUUGAUUCUGAGGGUGGCAACAAGCCAAACAGAUGAAGCCACAAGAACACUAUCCUUUUCAAAGGAAAAGCUUAAACAAACUUACCAAAACAAAAUUCUUAAUUUUCUUAGCUGUAUUAUUUAAUAAUAGUGCACGAAAUAUGUGUAUAUAUAUAACUCAACUUUACUUAGUCUUUGAUUUGUAAAUUGUAACUAGCUAUCACAAUAUAUAUAUACAACAAAAGGAAAACAAAAAAAGAAAAACUAGAAAAAACCAUGUACCACAUGUAUGUAUAUAUAGAUUUAUAUAAAGAAGGUGAUUGUUUCAAAUAUAAACAAGCUUUGUUUCUUAUCAUUUUCUUUUUCUAUGUAUCAUCGGAUGUACUGUAAAAUGAUCUAAUUAACUGUGUCAUUAAUUAUUGGUUAGUUUGCGAUGCAUUUGUAAUUAUAAAGUGAAAACAAUGAGUUGUACUGGAUUUAUAAUGCUGAUCGAUAAUAUUAUUGUUUUCUUUUCUUUUUUUUUCAUUUGGAAAACUAGGGCACAGGUGGUGGGGUGGCCACCAGUUAGGUCGUUCAGGAAGAACAUCAUGGCCGUACAAUCCGAGAAGGGGAGCAAGGAAGAUCAUCAUCAUGGUCAAGGGGAGAACAAGUCCGGCGGCGGCACAACCGCGACAACCGCCAUCGCCGCCUUCGUGAAGGUGAGCAUGGACGGCGCGCCGUAUCUCCGCAAAGUCGACCUCAAGAUGUACAAGAGCUAUAGGGAGCUCUCCAUUGCCCUGGAGAAGAUGUUCAGUUCCUUCACCACUGGUAAACUACCGGGCUUGUACCGUUGGCUAUUUAUUAUUGGCUAAAAUACGUCUAAUUUUUUUUAUUCUGUAACAGUAGAAUCAGAAAAUUAUAUAAUAAUUAAGUUGAGUUGAUAGACAUGACGCUCGGAUAGAUUCAGUCAAGUCGAAAAUCACGUGCGUUGUGGCUGAGCCCUUAAGUGCAAUGCAUGUAUCCUUGCUAUAGCUAGCUAGUACCACGGCAAUAGCAACAACAAUAACAACAAAUAAUAAUGACAAAAAUAAAAAUAAGAAAAAAAAAAAAGGGGGUACAUGCAUUACGUACAAAUUAAUUAAUAUCUGUAUAUAUAUAUAGGGGUUUAGAGCAAUAAGAGCGGUUCGAUCCGCGUCGGCCGACACAAGCCAUGCAGUGGCCAUGUGAUUGCCAGAGUACUGUUGCACCCCACAUUGUGGCAAUUUUCUUUUUUUCUUUUUUUCUUUUUUUUUUUUGUCUUUUUUGUUUUCUACACCUAGCUAUAGACAUGUAUGUAUGGCCAUUAAUGUAGCAUUCCUGUGCCAACCUACUAAUUAAUGCCUAGAAAUAUAUAAUCUAAUAAUUGAUAAUAAGUUGUUGUAUUAAUUAACUCUACUUAAGAGCCUAGUGUGUCAUGAAGUAAUUGAUAAGUUACUCCUACUUUGAUACCACUUGUUACGGCGAUUCUGAUCGAUCCAAAACUUCAAAGACGUGAUUUAAGCAUAUAUAUGCGGGGAUAUUAUUGUUCCUAGUCAUAUGUAUCUUAUUGCUUCUUAGUUCGAGUUUAUUGGCUUUGAUUCUAAUUAAUAAAGUUGUGGAAAUUAAACGUAGGCAAUUGUGGGUCACAAGGAAUUAUGAAUGGGAAGGACUUCACUAAUGAGAGCAAGGUAAUGGAUUUAUUGAAUGGAUCCGAGUAUGUGCCCACUUAUGAGGACAAGGAUGGUGAUUGGAUGCUUGUGGGAGAUGUUCCGUGGGAGUAUGUAUCUCUCUCUCUCUCUCUCUCUCUCUCUCUCUAUGUAUAUAUAUGUACACACAUUUUGAACAAGACAAUUAGUAAUUAAAUUAACUACAAAACUAUAAUUAGCCAUAAAAAAAAAGAAAAUAAAUUGAAAUAUUUGAAUAUUAACUCUAAACUUGUACACUACUGUCUCCAGGAUGUUUGUUGAAUCAUGCAAGCGACUUCGGAUAAUGAAAGGAUCAGAAGCCAUUGGACUUGGUUAGUAUAUAUAUAUGCAAUUAAUACAUCUCCUACACUUGCAUAAAUUUUUUAGACACAAUUCUUAAAACUUGCAAAAUUGGUAGCUAGAAGAUAUUAAUGAUAAUGUAUAUCUCAAUUUUCUUCUCAUUUGAUCAUCUUUAAUGCAUCACAAGAUAAGAACAAAUUAAUAUGCCUUCACAUUUUGCUAUAUAUAUAAUAAUCUAAUUAUAAUUCUUAAUUUGUUAGCACCAAGGGCAAUGGAAAAAUGCAAGAACAGGAGUUGAUGAAGAAGCGAAAAAAAAAAAAAAAUGGUAUUUGCACAAUCUGUAUCUUAAUUAAUAUGCAAGGCAUGUGUCUGUAUUUUUUCAGUAUAUAUAAAAGUCACUAUUAAUCUGUCACCAUAAUAGAAUUUCUCAUAUUUUACUCUUGUUUUUGGUUUUGUGUUUUUUUUUUUUUUUGGGUUUUUUGUUUUUUUUCAGUGGACAAGAAGCAAUUAAUAUUACUUGUUGUCCAGGACUUUGCUGUAUGUUUACAUUGUUUAAUUAUCAAAUGUGUGUUNCCACAUGUUAUUAUUAUCAUAGCUGGAUGUUGCAUGGCUUUAUUCCAUGAAUUAAAAUAGGAUUCUAUCAUGCAAGAUGUUGCAUACUUGGUUGUGCUUUUUGCUCAUUUUUUAAAGUAAUCAAUUGUGCAAUAAAUAAGAUGCACACCCAACUUAAAGAGGGGAACAAUCCAUGCGCAUGGUGAUGGGGGAAUCAAUUUGUAUAUUCAUAAAUCAAUAUGGGCAUCUUGUCCUUUAUAUUUGUUUAUUCUAAGCUGUGAAAUAGUAGUAUCUCCAAAUUAUUGAGGGUUUAUAUAUAUAAAAAAGAAAAGCUUAGAGAACCUAUCUGAACUAUAGAUUAUUUUAAAUCAACUAUCCAAUCAUUCAAUUUAUUCAAUUUAAAUAAAAAUACCGUUGACCAACUCAAAUCAAAUAAAUUGAAAGUUCAGCUAAUGAAAUCAAAUUUUUAAAAGAUCGAAGAGUGAAUUCAAAAUGGUUCAUAGUUCAAAUAAAUUCUAUACGUUUUCGCGGAUACAAAAAGGUGGUCUCACAAGGUGGCUAACUUUGUUAAUAGAAAAAAUACAGCUUUUCAUAAGAAUGCUAUAUAUAUAUAUAGGCCUUGAAUCUUACUAUUGCUAAUUAGUGCCUGUUUGGCUCGGCCUCUGAUCGAAAUGUAUAUAUCCAACACCGAAAAGCAGAAGCAAAUGAGGCACGUAGUAAAUAAAAAUUCAAGAGCUUUUGUUCUUCCAAAAGCAUACCUCAGUUGUGAAGUUUAUUGCAAUGCUUCUUGGAAGAAACAUCACUCCAAAAGCACUCUUUUGCAAUAAGGCUCCUGCGAAAGAAAAUUGGAGUUCCUUCAUUUUCUCAGAGUAUAUAUCUUCUUUGUGCUGUGGUUGUGGAAAGCAGGUUCAUAAGCCCUAGCACUCCCCCUAAGAACUUCAACAUAUAUAUAGCGAGAAGUUCGAAACUCGAGCGCCAAAUUUACGCACAUAUGAAGGCUCGAACUCCGACCUUUAUCCCUAGAUUACUAGUGAUUCCGUAAAAUUAAGAAGGUUGAAGGACAUAAAUAGCUCAUAGAUGAUGUACAAAGUAGUAGUGAUCUUGUACCUCUUUGGAUAUGAAAGGUCGGAUGGGAAAUUGCCGAAUCCUCCAUCUUGUACGCUUUACGAAUAAAUUUCAUUUGCACGUGUGCCAGAUUCGUCACAGAUAGCCUUCGCCAAACACAAAGUGUUUGUGAGCAAAGCAUUUUCCUUGUUAACUUCUAUUACACUCAGCCAAAGCUCUCAACUGAUUUAUCUGCCGUUCCGCUCAACUUAGCUGUGAGUUUUCAUUAUUCACUUGAACACAGCUCGGAAUAUGAUAGAUUUACUUGAUCAGUCUAGGGGAAGUUUUUCUGACGGGGGUUUUACGAGGUUUUAACUUCAGUGUUCACUGGUAACUCAGACGAAAACAGUGUCGUGAUGCAUCCAAACAAUCAUCAUUUAUUGAUGCAUCCUUGAUAGACAAUAUAUAUACAUAAUAAAAGUACACAUGUUUUUCGCUCAAAUUGGAAACAAAUAAACAGAUAGCAAAAAAUAUUCGAUAAGAGCUCUUAUUGGAGAGAAAUAUAUUCCAAUCACAACAACAUGGUUUUCAGUACAGAUUAGGGAAAAAAACAAAAAACAGCUUUCGUCCAGAAAGAUCACAUCAACUCUGGCUCAGAAGUCUACUGACCUGAUUACGAGAUCUGCAUGUUUCUUUGACUUCAUGAUGAGCUCCGCAUUUGGACGGUCGUUAUACUCGAUCUGAUUUCCGUAAAACAACCAACAAGAGAAUUUAUUGUUUAAGAAGUAUAUUAAAAAUGCUCUUCAAAAACAAAGUAUAUUAGAGAUAUAGGAAGAAAAUGUGUUCAGAAAUGUUUCUAUCUUACCCGCCAUUUUGCAACGUCGGGUUCCUUCCCUACCAAAGGCAAAACAGAGAAUAAGACGCGAAUGCAAUACACGCGAAACAAGAAACAAGAGUUGCUCUUUGUAUAGCACUAACCUGUGGAGAUAUGCCUGUUGAGAACCCUUUGCAUCGCGACAUCAAUGUCAACAUCUAUGAACCUACGCAUAAGGAGUUCACAACAAUUGCAUUGACUGAUCACAACCCACAGGUGAUAAAAAAAAUUCACACACAAAAUACCAUUUAGCAACACGAAAAAACAUAAAUAAAUAACAAGACUGAUGAAAAUGCAUAUCAGCAAAAUUCCAUAACACCAAGUGUAACACUGGUCAUUCUUAAGAUUCUUUGGAGUCUCCAACUUAUUUGUUCAACAAGUUGUAGGUAAUACAAUUCUCUUCUAUUGAUAAACAUAAAUACACUACUAUCAUAUAAAAGCCAUGAAACAUGAAUAUGACAUAAAUUAUUGUAAUAAUAAAGGAAAACAUCAUUUUGUUUGGUGCAUGCCAGAACUGGACUUACCAUUUCUCAUCAAAUAAAGCUGACAAAUCUUUCCAAGUGUCUUCUUCCAACAACAAGUAGUUUCCUUCUACAAUCACUACUUUGUGCCUGCCAAAAAUAAGACGAUAACAAGGUAAAGGAUUCAUAUCCACGGACCAGCAUGAAGUCAUAUCGGUAUGCUCAGAGUCGACCCUUUCAGGUGAGGAGUAGUCCUUGCAUGGGUCAUAGAAAUUUAUGCCGGAAGGUUUUGCAAUAUAUAUCUUUUUCCCAUUUUGUGAAAGCAUAUCAUCUCUCAUCUCCUAAGGAAGUGUAGGAGUAGAUUAUCCAGGUAAAUUAUAUAUAAUUCCUCAAAGAACAUAAACUUUCCACCGGAAAAUUUGUAUAAACUUUCCAUUGGAAAAUUUGUAACCUAUUGCCCAUUGGUACUCAUUUCAUAUUGAUGGUCAUUUUAGCCGAAAUAAUUAAUUCGAAAAAAAAAAGGAAUAAACCAUUUUAGUGAAAUAGAACAGGAGGUGCGCUCUUUCUUUCACAGUUAUCAACAAUCUAUGAUGUAUGGCAAGCAUUGUAAGUGGGAGAAUUAGAAUAAAAGGAGAAGCUCCUAACUUAAUCUACUAGAGUUAUGCAUGUUUCAACACCCAUUAAAGCCAUCAAAGUAUUGAAAUAUCACCAUGCAGUAUGAAAUAGCCCUUCAGCAUAACUAGCAAAAAUUAAAACUGAAAUACUUCUUGAAGGAUAACUGAAAACAGCAAGAUUUGAGAACAGUUAUAUACGAUAUAGCUCCAGCUUCCAACAAGUACAUUUAAAGUUUAAAUUAUACAAUUAAGACCACAAAGAUGUUUAACUUACUGGGAACUCACAAAAAUAUCAUUUUCUACAGGAUCCCCUACACCAUGAUCAAAUGAUGGAGCAUAAACUGAUCCCUACAAAGUAAUCCAAUAUUAUUAUUGGAACCUGACAAGUUCCGGAAAAAAAAAAUUGCAAAGAUCCUAAAGAUGUAAAAAGUUUCAUUUAAUAUAACAUGACAUAAACGAUGAAAUAUCAAGAUAACCAGUGAAUAAAAGACCCAAAAAACAAAGGUAUGGAACUCAAGAAAAAUGUAAAUUACCUCAUUCCUUAAAGUUUGCAGGCAUUUAAAAAGCAGCUCUGGAUUGAACGUCCAAGGCGCUGAAUAUAUCAGUUUCAGGUUAGUAAGUUUAAGCACCUCAAUUGUAAUACUAGUCCAAAAGAUGUUCCUCACCUCCUCUUCUUGCAUGAGCUUCCUUAGGAUUCUAUAAGAAAAAGUAAAAAUAUCUAUAAUAGACCACAUAAGCAGCAAGCACUUGACAGUUGAUAUAGCUAACCGUAAUAGAGAUUCUAACCUCCAUGGCGUCCAGCUGGUAACGAUAAAGAUGGAAACCAUCCAUAGGAAGCACCGUAGCGACUUCAUCAGGUAGAAGAGUUGAAUUAGCUUCAACAAGCUUUUGAGACCAGAGCAAAUUUACCCGGCGGAUCACUUCAGAUGCCAGAGUUGACUUGCCUGCACCAGGUGGACCAGCCAAGCCAACAAUAUACCUGCCCAAACUUUCACUUUCAGACCCAAUGAAAGGAUUGCCCUAAAAGCUAGUGGUUGUUUUCAGAAUGAUCAACAUUCAUCUAGUGAUUAAGUUGAAACAGUUAGGACAAAAAGAGUUUCAUAAUUUGAUCCUCUGUUUCGGAAAAUUUUACCUUGAUUGUAGCACAGUUUGGAAAACAAACAUUUAAAUAGUAAGUCAUCAAGACAACUCCAUGAAAUGACAACAAUAAAAUAUAAUAUUAAUAAAAACAAUGUACAAAGAAGCAAAAGUAGUACUUCAGAGAUUGUAUCAUUAAACUUUUCUGGUUAUGCACAUGGUUAAACAGUAGAAGGUAGUAAAUUUUACACCUGUAAGUCUAUAACACACUUAAAACAAUAAUGAUAACAUCUAUUGUGGUAAAUACAUCACAUAGAGCACUAUAAACCGCUAUGAUUUUUUUUUUUUUUUUUUUUUGGAGAGAUAGGUAGCACGCUACCCGCUUUGUUUAUUUCAUUUAGAAAUAAACUUAGCUAGAAAUGUGAAUCAACUAGGAUUCGAACUUGGGUCUCAGGUACCAACCACCAAGCCCUUUGCCACUUGCUUUAGGGACGGUCGGUAACCGCUAUGAAAUAUUAAGAUUGACAUUUAGCUAUGUUAUACGCAAAACAAUAAUUCCUAAAAAUUUUCUCUUCCAUUACGAUAUGAUUAUCCAACAGAGAAAAUGAACUAGAACAAUUUAUUAUACCCAGAACCAUUAGUUUGUAGCAGUACAGAUAGGGAAACUUACUUUAAAUUAAGAUCCUCGAACUUUAAUGCAGUAGAAAGAAGACGUUCAGCUAAAGCAUCAUACACCUCCACGAUAGUCCUUGAAUUUGAAAAGGAUUCAGUUUUUUGUUAUUCAGAAUAAAAUUUCAAAUUAUUCAGCUAAAUAAUUGUUUGUAACUCAUAAGCAUGAAUACUCGAGCAGCAAUCAACCAGAGACCCAUCAAGAAUCAUGUAACAGAACUGAUAAAGAAAUAAAAAAUUGACUUAAAAACCAACAGAAAACAUCCUAAUCUACAAAUUUACUUCAGAGGUACAUCUUGUAUAAAAAUUUCCGUUAGCAAUGGAACAACGACAGUAAUGAUAAAGCAAGAAGUCACAUCUCUUGUUGGUGCUAUUAGUCACACAACCAACUUCGCCAAUAUAGGAGAUUUUCUUCCCUAUAAAAGAAUCAAUGUAUGGUAUACCUGCCUUCUAGCACAGGGACUUCUUGUUUCUGAUAGCAUAGAACCUGGAAAAUGGAAGCAUGGAAGAAUAUCAUAACAAAUUUAUUAUUAUGGCAGAUGAAACAAAUGAAACUCACCUUCUGGUUCUUUUUCGGCAUUGAAGGGGAACAAGUUUGAUAUAGUCCUUUUCGCGAAGUCUUGAUUGAACAACUUAACCCCAAAGAAUGAUGCCAUUUUACAUUUCUCUUACGUGCCAAGAACUCUACAAAUACAGGAAACUUCUAGUAAAAUACAUUGUCGAGACAUUACUAGAAAAUUAAAAUCCGAAAUAUAGUCAUUUUUUGUGCAGUUUAGAAGCUACCACAAAAUCCGCCUUUAAUACUCUAGAAAUUGGUAUCCCUCAUCAAUGUAAAAAUAUGAAAAGAGGGUGGCCAAAAGUCCUCCUUUGCAAAUGCAAGGCCAAAUAAUUCAGACGUGAGAAACAUAAAUCAUUAAAAGGUAAAUGGAGCGCUAUAUUGAUAAGAACUAGCAACUUAUAAAAGGGACAUUUUUAGCACGUAACACUAGGGAUUUUUAAUUGUAAAUAUAGGCCUCAGAAACUUUUAUUUCUAAAAUCAGACCCACUUGUACCACGUCGAUGGAAAAGCGGUAAGCCAUUUACCAGCUUUAGAAUGUAGUAAAUCGCCACAUUCACAUAAAGUAUUAAUUCGCUAAGUCCGAACUUCGGCAAAUGUAUGCCGUUUUUAAAAGCGGUAAACGGUUCACCGCCUUAUGAGCACCCCAAACAGUUUUGGCAUUUUUUAAUAAAGCGGUGCUUAAUAAGCCACUGCUUUUAUGAGCACCCCAAACGGUUUCAAUAUUUUUGAAUAAAGCACUGAACGAUUUCCCACAUUUUAUAAACCGGUGAUUCAUUCACCAAAUGAAUCACCACUUUUUUUGUUUCCCUCCGAAGUUGCAUAAUAUAUGCCUAAUUUUGCAAAUAAUUUUUUCGAAAGACUAUUUUUAUAACUAUAAUGUUUUGUAAGCCUAUUUAUAUAAAAAAAAAAAAAAAAGUUCACUUAUAAAGUGCUAGCACCCACCUAUUAUUAGCAUUUUAUUGGGCCAUUUAGGCCCAAGAAAGCUCAAUGUUACUGUUACUUUUGGGGUGUCAAAAAGCUACACCAAUUUGGCUCAUUGUAUCUACUGAGUAUAAAUUUCCUUACACGAAACUAAUGUGAUUUUGAUACAAAUCUAUAAAAAACAAAACUUUCUUAGUAUUCAUUAACAGCUUAAGAUCAAAUGGCCAACCACAUAAUAAUCCUCAUAAAAGCGCCAAUAGAUCAUGAAAAAAAGAGGCAUCUUUUUCGUGAUAAAAAGAGGGAUCUUUUGAGAAGUGCGUGCGUUAAUUUAUGGCAACAAACAUAUCAAAAUAUAUAAUAAAAAAAAAAAAGAAAAAUCAUCGACCUAAGGGAAGUAUAUAUGUGUUCUCCCAAACCCUUGCGAAAAAAACAUCAAAGAGAAAGAGGAGAGGCGAGAAAUCAGGGUUUGAUCAGGGAUGAGAUACCUAACGAAGAAGAACAGGAGAGAUUGAAUCGCCCUCUUCGAUUGAGGAGCGAGAGCUCCAUCUUCGCGUGGGGGGCAAAGGAGAGCUCCAUCGUUGCGUGCGUGCGAUGCCACUCCACUCCACUCUGUUCUCAAGCGACAUUAACAUAACAUGGGUGAAAUGUGUGAAAAAGUCCCUGUAUUACCCCUAUUUUGCGAAAUGGUCCCUACAGUAUUAGGGGUUUUUUUGCAAAUAGCCCCCUGAUAAAUUUUUUUUCAAAAUUAGCCCUGUCAAAAAUUUAUUUGCAAAAAUGGCCAUGUUCCUGCCACGCAAGCGCCACAUCAGCGCCACGCGGGCGGGGCUAGAGCCAGGUGUUUAAGUUGAACACGGUAAACCGUUCAUCGUGUUUAGACACGGUGAACAGUUCACUGUGUCCAAUGCAAAUACCCCACACUUAGUCAUUUUUGGCUAAUGGUUGGGUAUUUGUAUUGGACACGGUGAAUAGUUCACCGUGUCCAAUAUAUUAUUCACACCCUGACUCGGGUGUGUAUAAUUCAUUGAACACGAUGAACCAUUCAUCGUGUUUGAACACGGUGAACGGUUCACCAUGUUCAACUUAAAUACCUGGCCCCAGUCCCGCCCGCGUGGCGCUGACGUGGCGCUUGCGUGGCAGGGGCAGGGCCAUUUUUGUAAAUAAAUUUUUGACAUGACUAAUUUGAAAAAAAAAAUUGUCAGAGGGCUAUUUGCAAAAAAAGCCCUUAAUAACUUCAAAAACUUACCCCCUGAAAUUUCACUGCUUCACACUUUGCCCCCUAUCAUUAAAAAAAAUUCUAGAUUUUUUUUUUUCCAAUAGUUAGGGAAUGAAUUGCAAUACGUGUGAGCUUAAGCAAAUAUACACCGAUACCAAAUUGCAAUACUGGGAUAGAACAGGAAGUGUCCAUACAUUUUACCCCAACCCAUUUUCUUCUUUUCUUUUGUCCUAAUCCAUUUUAUAUUGCCAAUCCUAUUAUUGCUUUUUUAUGAGAUUUUAUCGAUUCAUUACCCAAAAACUGUUAGAUUGGAAAAGAUACAACACAAGUUUAUUUGAUCUCACCAUUAUUUCAUUUGAAUCAUUAUCCUGUGAAACUAACUAAAUCACUAUGGAAUGCAAAUUCUAUCAAAUCGUAUUGAUUUUUCCCUACAUAUACAUCUCUCAUCAUUUCUCUCUCUCUGAGAUUCUUUUCUCUGUUCAUAUUAUUAGGCCUCAUCAGUUUGCUCCAUUGGUCCAGUUUCCACUUUUCAAUUGCUUCAACAAGGAUUUUUAAGGUAAAACUAUAUUAAAAGAAAUGCUUUAUUCAUCUCUUUUCAAACAAUAAAAUCAAAUUAAUUCAAUUUCACUUUACUAUUGUUCCAAACAAAAAGUAGUUUUUUCUCAUUGAAUCCAUUGAUUUCUUCUAACCUAAAAGGUCCAACCCAAUUAUUUUCAGAUUUAGUCCUACAUAGGAUUUUACCACACAUAACAUGCAUUCACAAUGUCAGCAGUUCUGCAGAUGGAUUGGGUUCAGCAAAGUAUCAACAGCUUCAUUGUAACUGCCCUAAGAGCCCGAGUUUUGUUUCAGCAAUCAAUACAAGGUACUGCAGUAUUUCCUUUUAAUCUUUAUGAUAAAAAUUAUACAUAAUUACGUUUUGUAAUGCUUUGCUGCACUGUUCUCAGAAGUACUAUGAUAACAAGAGAUGUAUUUAAGUUUUGUUCCUCUAGUGGAUGUGUAACACAAUAAGAACAAUAUACAAAUAUGAUGAGAUCACUGCUACAUUCUCAGAGAUAAAUAAUUGAUUAAAUGAAGAAGUUCAAUGAAAUCUAAUUUUAUUCUUAAAGAAAAUACUAGUCAAUCGGGCUGCAAUUUAUUCUUCUACAGAGUUCUCAAUCCAAAUAGCCUUCAGUUUUAAAGACAGCCUAAUAGCAGCCCACAUGUAUUUGCUGAUACAACAGACAAUCAGAAUUAGUCUCAGAUAAGGGCAUAGGGGUAAGUUAAACACAUCACCAACACGCGAAAGAUCGUGGUGGAUACAAUAAGAUCGAUCGGGAUGUAUACAAUUGUGUUUCAUAUCUAGCCGUUAUCCAUCAAGGUGCACAACGCAUUGGCUUCUCUUUGCCCUCUUGCACUUCUCAUCAUCAGCUUGCUGUAACAAAAGGAAAAGAAUAAUAAGACGGGAAAAAGGGGGCUAAAAUAGCCCCAAAAAAAAUUUAAAAAAAAUGAUUCAGGCCCAUGCUCGAUUUGAUGCAAAAUACCUGGCUAGCUUAUUUGCCAUUUCAGUUUGAACCAUAAAGCUUAAUUUAAUAAAGAAAACUCACUAAUUAUCUAAUAUUACUGAAUCUGAUUUGAUGCAAACAACUAAAUUCCGCCAGCAAAGUUUAAGUUGGUCUAAAAGGCCUAACCAAAGGACUGGUUGUCUUAGUAAUAUUAAAUUACUAGUGACUUCAUAUAUCUACAAAAUUUUCUGCCGUCCAUGAAUAGAUGUGCACAUAAGCUAACAAAUAAAAGAGAUUUUUGGACGGCAAAGACCACUAAAGCAUUCCAAGGAAUUAAAAAGCUUCAGAACUAAUCUAUUAAAGGGAUCAGAGCAUAGGAACCAAGCAGCACUCUCACAAAAGUUCAGAAACUAUCUCUAGGGAAAAUUCGCAGCAGUAUUUGCACCCACUAACCUGCUGAAGAAGAAAAUGUGGGACUUGAACUCUUUUGGAGCCAUCUGCCAAACGUUUGCAAGGUAAAUGAUUUUCAGGUGAAGCAAACUCAUUAAGAACCUGCAAGAAGUAAUGGAAAUCCAAAAGCAGCUAAGCACUGAUUUUAAGUUAAUACCAGAAGUAAAGUCUUAAUUAGAGAAAAAAAAAGNAAAAAAAAAAAAAAAAAAAAAAAAAAAAAAAACAUAGACUGAAUAAAGAUGAGAGGAAUCAGAGAUACAUCUCUAGACUUUGUUAUUCUGAUUAUCUCCUCGAAGCAAAUGAAUACAUCAUUAAGAAAAGCAUAUGCUGUUAUAAGCACAAGUGAUGUAUCGACAAGUCUCAGCACCAUGCAAGUCGGGCCUAAGUAAAAACUACCUGGUUUCUGAUUGCUCCGAUUAACAUAUCUUGGCACCCAGAAGCAUAAACAUUUUUCAAAUCCGAGCACUGGAGCAGCAACCUUUCUGCAAAUUUUUUUGAAAUAUUAUGAGUUAUUAUUCAGCUUUAUCAUAUUUUGACCUCAGUGAGAAUGUGAUUACUAACCUGGAUGUAGAUUCGUACAUGAAUUUAGAUUGAGAUCAUUAAGCUCUGGACAAUUCAAGUACAAGGCCUGCGAUGGGUAGGAAAGAAAAUCAGUUCUGUAAUAAAUAAAGAGUUCUAUUGUAAGGGAAGCAGCAUAGCUUUCAUUUGUAUUAUGACUCACAUCUAAACCCGAGCAACCCCAUAAACUGAGCUUCUUCAAAUGUGCAUGCUUUAUAAUCAACUUCUGGUAAAUAGGCUGUGGUCUCACGGUCGACAAUUUUUGGCACCAUUUAACCUCUCCAUGUUCUUCGCUAGUAUGUGAUUUGUCUUCUGCGGAUUGAGAAUUAACAACACAUAUGCUCAUUCCACAGUCUAUAAGUUGAAGAAGUGGAAGUUGAGCUGUAGCGAAUUGAAUCCCACCUAGAAAAAAUUUUAAGUGGUGAUAAAGUUAGGCAGUGUAUUCAGAAGCAAAGAUAGAUAGAUUGGGCCUUUCAUUGGCCUUUUUUAAAAUUAUAUUACUUCAGAACAAGAAAACAAGCAAAAACAGCCAGGAAUUUGAUGCUCACUUGAAGUAAUGUUAGGACAAAGAGCAAGGAGAAGUCUUGAUAGAGUUUGAGGGAACCCAUUGCAUAUCAUUCCAAUCCCACUAUCACUUAUGCUUGAUCUGGAGUCGCAAGAAAUUCAUAAAGUGAACUUCAAGUGGCAUUUUAGGAGUCAAUUUUUUUGUGGAAAUAAUGAUCUAGCAGUUCUUUUAAAAAAAAGACAUACCCACUCAAAUCAAGCAACUCUAGGAUUGCAAAGGAUGAAACUAUAGCUGCUACAGAUGCAUCAGUGAUCCCAGAUCCCAGAACUAAAGAUAGCAUGCGUAAUCCCCUGAUUAAGCAAAUAUUUUUGUUAAAACCUUGCAGAAAUACUUUAGAUUGCACAUUGCAAUGUCAUAUGAAUUAUUUACUCCUAAAGGAAAGCACAAAUUUAGUACCUCAAGUUAGCACUUGUUAGAGCAAUAACAGCUUCAUUACAGAGCCGAAUAGAUGCAAUAUGAAUGUUUCUCAAUCUCGGACAGGUGCGGCCCAGGCUGUCCAUCAUGAUAACAAGGUCGGUAGAAUCAUUUUCUUGUCGUGCAAAAUCAAGAGAAAUCUCUUUCAGAUUUGGACAGUUGAUAACCUAUAUAUGAAGCUCAAUCAUGAGAAUGCAGGAAGGAAAAAAGUAAAUUUCUGCGGCCAUUAGAUGAUGGAAAAUGUGGAGAGAAGAGAAUAUACUGAUUUUGAGAGGCAAUAGAGAUCUGACAACCAGAUAGUGGACAGGCUUGACGAGGACAAGUUUAAGAAACCAAGAUUCGUGCACCCUUCCAAUUUGAUCAUCGAAAGAGAGCGCUUAUCAGAAACAAACCGGCAUAGUUCAUCACUGCAAGAUAACCCAUUAAAAUGAAAGAUUAAUUUUUAAUUAGGCACUUGUGCUACUAAUGCUACAUAUGACCUUCAAAAACAAGAUCAAUAUUGUUUCAAGCAUCAUUAUGUCAAACAACAUCAAUAUUUUAAUUUGGAUUACUUCAAACUUCUUGGAGAUAAUUGCCAGAAAAAAGCAAAGACUCAAACUUAAGACCUGCGAUAAGAUUACUUUCAUGUAUCAUUAAUAUUUCCCGCAAGCCUCUUAUAUGAAACAGGAAACAAGAUAGAGCCAUCAGAAUAGAUCCAAAUAACAACAUUAUAUUCACUAUUAACAUUUAAUCUCAAAUGAGUAAUUAAAAAAACAAAGAAGAUCAAAUAAGGUUAGAAGGAAUGGGCAUACCCAGUCAACCUAUUGACUGCAUUGUCGCCUAAGCUGAUCUCAAAGGCUUUUAAACUAGGGCAAGAGAAUGCAACACAAGCCAGCAAUGUAGCAUCAACAUCACUGCAAAAAAAAGGAAGAGAGGAAAGAUAUGUUAGAUCAAAUUUUUCUGAAUUCUAUUGAAACUCAAAGAUCCAGAUCCACUCUUUAAUUCACUUUCAUGAGAAUAAAAAUGCAUAUUUGAAAUGAUUAAGAUAUUUUACAAUGUUCCAUUCACCUUUCCUUAAUCAGAUUAGCUAAGGAAGCAAAAUCUAGUUAGAUCAACUUCACUGUAGUACAUAUUGCCUAAACAAAAAGGAAAAAAGAAUUAUCUUUGUUAAAAAUAAGAAAAUUAUUUGUGAAAAGGGAGUAAAAACAAAAUAAAAAAAAAUUGAUCAAAUUUCCAAAAUGAAAACGUGAGAACACAUAGCAGAUCUACCAUCUCAUGGAUGAUCUCACUUCUGCGGCCAAUUUUUAACAAUUAAAAAACCAAAAAAUAGAAAAGUACCAGCAAUGAAAAACUCAAAAGAAUGAGAUUAGAAAAAGGGGAUUAAAAAACUAAGGAUGAAAUAGUGAAGAUGAUAUGUAACGCAUCAUCAGAAGCCUGGAAAAAGUAAAUAAAAUGACCAGAUCUAACAAUUUUCAAGUAUAAAAAACCAAUUAAAAUGGAUAAUCAAAGUAAAAGACCAUCAAAAGGCCUAUUGAUCUGAAGACCCUCGAUGCCUUAAAUUACAAAAUACCAAAACUUCAGAUCCAAAUCAAAUACAUGAAACUAAAAGAGAAAAAGAUCAAAAUCCACCAAUUUCUCAGCAUCAACAUCAACUUUCACCUUCAUAUUAUCUUGUAAUACUUGAUCGACCAAUAAAUCGGUACUGAAAAUUUCAAAGGCUUAGGUUUUAUAUUUGAUCUCCAUUUUAUCACAUAUAGGUCGACAAUUACUUCUCCAAAAUGCAUUGUUUCAAUCCAUCAACAAAACUUCUUCCAAAAGCACUCACGAGUUCAGAACCAACACCAUAAGAUGAGGAGCAUGAGCUCUUCCCGUAAUUGGGCCACUAAUUUACACCUCAGUGCCAUAUUUUAGUACAAUUUGCGUAAAAAUUCCAUCUUUAUCAUAGUUUUUUAUUCAUUUCCGCUUAUUUUUUUAGUUCGUAAAUGGCAUCCUCCUUCCGAUCAAGGAAACGCCCUAACCUUUCCAUCCUCAAAGUGAGCCGGGCCAACGCGGCACACUUAUGCAGCACCGAUCCGACGAACCCGAUCUGUGACCUCGGCGAAACCCUAACCCUAAGUUCCUCCGCCGACCUCCACACCCUCCGCACGCACUCUCUCCACCCCCUGCACACCGCCGCCGCCCCCAUCAGCUCCUUCGGCGAGAGCCGCCGCAGCACCUCCGCCAUGCACGACACCGGGAGGACCACCGCGCCGCCCAUCACCACCACCGCCUCCUCCCGCCCCUCCUCCUCGUCCUCCGGCCCCACCACCGACUCCGGCGGCGCCGCCACCUCCUCCGGCGUCGGCGCGGCGGAGAUCCGGUCGUCGUCGAAGGAGAGGGCGCGGCGGAGGCGGGAGUCGGAGCGCGGGGGGAGGGCGGGGCCGUCGGCGGCGGAGCACACGUGGCCCUUCUUGGGGAGCCCACAGCGGCCGCAGUUGUAGUUCCCGCGCUUCUUCUGCGGCUGGCGCUUCGCCGCAGCGGUGGCAUCCUCGGCGAUCAUGGUGCCGAAGCUAGGGUUAGGGUUAGGGUUAGGGUUAGGGUUUGCUCGCGGAGAGAGAGAGAGAGAAAUGGUGGAUAUUGCGGAGGGUUAGAAAUAAGAAGCGGGAAGCGAGAUGGAGGCGGGGAAGGGGAGUGUCGGAAAAAGACGCGGGAGAUUAGACUUCGUUUCGCGCCUUCCUAUUUCACGUGCUCAGUUGGAAAUCACUUCCCUGAACCCCGUUCACCUUUACACCUCCUACGCCGCCCUUCAUCAGCCUCUUAAACUGUUAAGAUUACGGUGUAUGAUGAAACGAACGGCCGACGAUGAACGGUGCACGAAUCGUACGGAUAAACCGUGGUCAGGGAAAUAAUUUGUACGGUAAAGAACGAGCGUGCUGUGAAAUUACUGAAUUGCCCUUCACUUUUUCGAUGUACAGGGGUAGGGGUCCCACCUCGCCUGAGCUUUUGCAUGUGCGACUACGCGUGCCGCUCAUGAGUACAUCCCUCGAAAUUUAUUUCAAUUUUUAAAAAAUUCUAAUUUUGUUACUUAAUUUUCUUAUUCAUAUCUUCUUUUUGUAAUUUGACAGUGUUUAUAAUAAAUAAUAAAAUCUUCUAUUACUAAUCAAAAAGUUAUAUAUCCUAAUCAGAAUUUAAAAUUUUGUUUUAAACAGUUUGACUGAAUAUUUUAUAGCUUGAUUAAAUUUUCUAUAAUUUCUAUAGUCUCUUUAAGAUAUAAUUUACUUCUAAAUUAUCCAAUCCUUUAUGAGAUAUUUUGAACUAAAAAAUAAUGCAAAGUUAGGUGGUAAAAUCAAGGAGCAUAAAGUGUAGUCACAUUUUAAAUGCAAAUACAAUUUCCUAUAAAUUUUUACCUUGAGGUUGGUGUUAGGUUAAUUGGGCCAUCAUUCUGUUCUUUGGAUUAAAAUUAAACUACAUCAAGUGAUGUUUGAAAAGGAAGGAGACUGGUUGGACAGAAUUACAAUUCAAAUCCGCGAGUAUUGUGUCAGUAUCUUUCAAGUGAAUUCGUUAUAUUGUUCUAACGGCACGAGUUUUUAAAAUUAAUAAUCAACGCCAACGAUCCGACAGUUAGAACAUUACAUGUUUUACAUUUAAUCAUUUUCGAUGUUCUAAGGACUAUGUCUACUUUAGCUAACCCUGCUAAUACGUCGGCUUGUAUUAAGGGCCCAUUUGAAAAUGAGUGCUGCUCAACGCAAGGGAGCCAAAAGAAAUUGCAGAGAAAGUACAGUCCUAUAUUUCUUCAGUGAGUUAUAGAAAAUAUAUCUUAGCGAUAAAAGUGCAUUAUGUAGAACACGCUAUUCAAUAUGAAAAAAUAUAUAUAUAUUUACCGGUCAUAUUUUUUUACUACAUACAAAGCACGCUUGCGCAAUGUAUUUGAAUAGAACCUAAGGUUUUCAAUGAGUUGUGGUUAGCUUAAGCCCAAGUUGUUACUCUGGUUUCAUGGCUCAAAAUGUGUAACCACAUUCUUUCUACCCACGCAUUCUUGUGUUUGAUUGGAGAGUUUUGUUCAAAUGGAAGAUCAUUCCUCUAGUGCCUUCAGAUGUAAGAAACGAAUGUUAAGUUGUACUCAGCUCUGCGACAAGGAUUGACUUGUUUGCGAUCCAUCAUACAAAGCGGAGUUCUUGCUAUUUGACAUCUUAGCACGCUAAACCAUCAAGCUUACGAAAUAGGCACUUAGGGUUCAGCCUUCCUCGAUUGCUUCAGAACUAUCCGAUCAUACAAAGCGGAGUUCUUGCUAUUUGACAUCUUAGCACGCUAAACCAUCAAGCUUACGAAAUAGGCACUUAGGGUUCAGCCUUCCUCGAUUGCUUCAGAACUAUCCGAUCAUACAAAGCGGAGUUCUUGCUAUUUGACAUCUUAGCAUGCUAAACCAUCAAGCUUACGAAAUAGGCACUUAGGGUUCAGCCUUCCUCGAUUGUUUCAGAACUAUCCGAUUAUAUCCUGAACCAUAUUGCUCUCGCCAUAGAUCGAAAAGUUUUUUUUGAAAGAUAGGUAGCACGCUACCCGCUUUGUUUAUUUCAAAUAGAAAUAAACUUAGCUGAAAUUGUGAAUCAACUAGGAUUCGAACUUGGGACCUCAAGUAUCAACCAUCAGGCCCUUUGCCACUUUCUCUAGGAAUGGUCAGUGCCAUAGAUCAAAAAGUUAGUUGGAAACUUAAAAUGAAAUGAUUCUAAACAAGAAGAGACAUAGCAUAUAAAGCGCAGAUUUCCUAACUACGGAGGGAAACAGAGAUAGAACAUUUCAGAUAAGUUGAAAUAUGAGACGGACAUGAAGGUUUUUUUGGUUCCUUUACGGGCAUCUGUCCCAAACAAAAAAAUUCGUGUUCGUAUCUUGUCAAGUAACUUAACGUACUUCUUUAUUUGCCACGACAUUUGCAUUUGUUACUUCACACGUAUGAACUAAAUAGACUCUGGGAUAGGUUGAUAAUAAUGUGACAAGAUUCAAUAGAUCUAAUCCAUUACUACGUUAAUAUCACUUCACAUGAUAUAUAUAUAUAUAUAUAUAUAUAUAUAUAUAUAUAAAUAUAGAGUCUGGCUGGGAUACUAUCGAUAGCAUCAAGAAUUUAGUGCUAUCGAGUUUCCACUGUCAGAUUUAAUCAUUUAAUUAUUUUUAUCCGUUAGNUGUAUUUGUUCAACUCAAUUCGAGUUCAAAAGUUCCCCAAGGCCAGGGACAUAGAUCGAACCCAAACCCGAGUUGUACGCACCAAAGUCGACUCAACUCGGGUCACCGAACCCAAACCCGAUCCAACGGAACCACAACACGAUCGAUUCGCACGCGCCUCGUACACACUACCCCGUCGUAAACAAAACCCUAGACCCCGAACCCAACGGCGCCACACGCAAACACAAAACCCUUCUCUGCCUCCGCAGCCCCCAUUCGCUCCGCCGCCGCCUCCGCAGCCCCCAAUCUCUCCUCCGCCGCCUCCGCCGCCGCGGAUUCCUCACGGAGGUGGAGUUCCCGUGCCCCAAGUUUUUGAUCCGAGCCACUUCUCUCGUAAGUGUCGAAAUCGUCUCUUCCGAUCGAUUCAUGAUUGUUAGGUUUAAUUUUUCUUAUUUGGGACUGUUUAGAUGUAAAGGUGUUUCUUUUCCUCUUAAUUUGUGGGUUUUUGGAUGAAAAUUGGUGUCUUGGGUAUUCAUUCGUGCGUGCACACCACCUGUUUGAUGAAAAGUCGACUCUUUUACUGGAGAGUUUUUAGUUUUAGGCAUUCAAUUAUUUGGUCAUAAUUCUUGUUUUGAUUUGUUUUCUUCAGCUAGUUGCGAUUUUUCCCCCCUACAAGAUGAGCUUAAUCUCUCAAAACGCUCUUCUUAAACGCCGGAAAGAGAAGCCCUACGAAGAGAAUGAAAAAGAGGUUGACAAAUCUCCGAUUACCCAAUCCGAUGACGAAACGGAGUUUGCAGAUGAACUCAGAUCCUCAAAAUCAAAGAAGAAGAAGAAGAGAAGCGGAGAUCGCGAUGAGCCGUUGAAGAUGAAGCUGUCGAAGAUGGAGCAGGAGGCAGAGAUGAAGAGGCUCGAGAGCUUACUGUUCGGUACGCUUUAUUCACCGUUGGAGUUCGGCAAUGAAACAAACGGAGAAGCGAAAAAGGAAGCGGGCCGGCCCGAUUCGUCUUUGUUCUUCAUGGACAAGUCGACGGGCAAUGACAUGGUGGUCUAUGAAGAGGAGUCGUAUCCUCAAGGAAGAAGCGAAGAAGAGGUAAAGGAAGAGAGAAAACCUGUGUGGGUUGAUGAUGAAGAGGAGAGAACCACAGUCGAUAUAAUUAGGGUUAAUAGGCUGAGAAAAUUAAGAAAGGAAGCCGAUGAGCGAAUUAUCUCUGGCACGGAAUAUGUCUCUAGAUUGAGGGCCCAGCAUGCUAAGCUUAACCCAUGGACUGAUUGGGCACAAAUCGGCCGAAAAUCUCACGCCGAUGAUGAGUCCGAUGAAGAAAGUGGAAUCACAAUUGCUCGUGGAUAUGAGGGUGUCGAGGGCGAUGAUGUACUUAGAAGCAAUGAGGAGCUUGUUGUGAAAGAUAGUGUUAGGCUCUUGCCCGGUAUGUUAGAGUAUUCUAGGCUUGUAGAUGCGAAUGCCGAGGAGCCAUCGAAUGGUCCCAUUAACUCGGUCCAGUUUCAUAGAAACGGGCAGUUGCUUCUAACUGCUGGGUUGGAUCGGCGGCUGAGAUUCUUCCAGAUCGAUGGGAAGCAGAACACCAAAAUACAGAGUAUAUUUGUCGAAGAUUGUCCGGUUCAUAAAGCUUCGUUCUUGCCAGACGGAUCCGAGGUGAUACUCGCGGGAAGAAGGAAGUUCUUUUACAGCUUUGAUUUGGUUAAAGCCGCAGUUAGUAAAAUAGGGCCUUUGACAGGGAGAGAGGAGAAAAGCUUGGAAGAAUUUGAGAUUUCUCCUGACUCGAGCACAAUCGCAUUCGUUGGUAACGAGGGUUACAUUCUUCUGAUUUCGUCAAAAACAAAGGAGCUGAUUGGGACUUUGAAGAUGAACGGAAGUGCUCGUUCUUUGGCUUUUGUUAGUGGUGGGAAGGAGCUAGUAAGCAGCGGCGGCGAUGGGCAUGUUUAUCACUGGGAUCUGAGGACAAGGAAGUGCAUUCAUAAAGGCAUUGAUGAAGGUUCCAUCGCAGGCACAGCUCUUUGUGCUUCUCCGGAUAGCUCUUUAUUUGCUGCUGGUUCGAGCAGCGGAGUCGUGAAUGUAUACAAAAGGGAGGAGUUUCUCGGUGGGAAGAGAAAGCCGCUGAAGACAAUAGAGAAUCUGACUACUGUGGUCGAUGAAAUGAAGUUCAAUCACGAUGCUCAGAUUCUGGCCAUUUGUUCGAGAAUGAAGAAGAACGGCCUAAAGCUAGUCCAUGUUCCGUCAUUUAAUGUCUUCUCAAACUGGCCCGGGGCUCGGCUUAGUCUGCAACACCCGCGCUGUUUGGAUUUCAGCCCGGGCGGCGGUUUCAUGACCGUGGGAACCGCAGCUGGGAAGGUUUUGUUGUACAAGUUGCAUCACUAUCGGAAUGCUUGAACUGUGAAUUAACGGAAACGAUCAGUUCUGCAACUACUACUGUGAUUCAUUCUGUCAAUUUUGUUCUAUUUUAUUUCGGAGUUCAAUGGUUUCACUGUACUGAUAAUAGCAUGAGUUUUGAGUAAGCUGUUACAAAGAGACUGAUUAGCGAGUAGCAUUAUUUUGGCUCAAUGUUUUAAGCUGUGUUACUCUUGCUUGUAGUUGAUGUAUUAUCUACUGUGUUGUCCUCCACCUUCAUCUGAACCAUGACAAAUUCAAUUGUUGAUUUGCAUGCAACUCCUACACUCUUCUCAUUCUAGUAAGUUUUUUAACAAAUUCAGGUCAGAUCAAUCAUAACCAAAUAGAACCAUGGUUUAGCUCAGUAUUGAAAUUUAGUUCAGGAACUUUCCACCGUAUUAUGCUUAUGCAUCUAAGUUUGCUAUCUUAUUUUUGACUAUCAAUGCAAUAGCUGAGCGCUUAAUGUCAUUGCAGAGCAUCUUUUGGUUACUUGGUUGACAAUUUGGUACCUGAUCCAAAUCUUUCACUUCAAACUUUUUAGUCUAAAACACACCUAAACAAUUGCAUAUCUCAUAGGCUGAUAUAUUAUCAUCAUAAUUUCCUACUGAAAAAAAGCCCGGUCUCAUCGGCAAACUAAAACUUUAGAACAGUAAAGAACAAUCACAAUAGUAACCAUAAAAUAGCUAAUAAAUUAUGCUUAAAGCAGUCAACAAGAAGCAACAACAUUCUUAAAUUUUCAUCACAGAUGUUCUACAUACAUAAUUCAAAAAGAGAGAGAGAGAGAGAGAGAGAGAGAGAGAGAGGGUCUCUUUGAUUCUUGUGUGUUUUUUCAGAGUGAGAGCCCACCAGAUUCCUCAUCCUCUUCAAGGGUGGAGGUGUACACAAAGUAGAGGGCCCAGAUGACCCCAAACACACCAAGAAGGAUCCACCCCAGCAGGUUGUUGCUGAUCCCGAGGCUCAGCCCGGUCCCCUCUGUGGUCAGCCGCUCGUCGACCAGCGCCAGGGCCGGUCCCGCCGCAGUCACCGCCACCC